Molecule: ribosomal RNA, 465 nt
Filed under: Vreelandella stevensii
Lineage: Bacteria; Pseudomonadati; Pseudomonadota; Gammaproteobacteria; Oceanospirillales; Halomonadaceae
Description: partial 16S ribosomal RNA
Rfam family: Bacterial small subunit ribosomal RNA
Source: RNAcentral
CCUACGGGUGGCAGCAGUGGGGAAUAUUGGACAAUGGGCGAAAGCCUGAUCCAGCCAUGCCGCGUGUGUGAAGAAGGCCUUCGGGUUGUAAAGCACUUUCAGUGGGGAAGAAAGCCUUGGGGCUAAUAUCCUCGAGGAAGGACAUCACCCACAGAAGAAGCACCGGCUAACUCCGUGCCAGCAGCCGCGGUAAUACGGAGGGUGCGAGCGUUAAUCGGAAUUACUGGGCGUAAAGCGCGCGUAGGCGGUCUGAUAAGCCGGUUGUGAAAGCCCCGGGCUCAACCUGGGAACGGCAUCCGGAACUGUCGGGCUAGAGUGCAGGAGAGGAAGGUAGAAUUCCCGGUGUAGCGGUGAAAUGCGUAGAGAUCGGGAGGAAUACCAGUGGCGAAGGCGGCCUUCUGGACUGACACUGACGCUGAGGUGCGAAAGCGUGGGUAGCAAACAGGAUUAGAUACCCUUGUAGUC